This 306-nucleotide small RNA is filed under the name Histoplasma capsulatum var. duboisii H88. RNAcentral's name for it is "Histoplasma capsulatum H88 hypothetical RNA". The record is from RNAcentral. Lineage: Eukaryota; Fungi; Ascomycota; Eurotiomycetes; Onygenales; Ajellomycetaceae.
GACCCCUUUCAGAAAAACGAAAACUCACAGAAGGGAGGGCUAAAUUGGAGAGAUUUACACACGACCAAUAAGAGCUAUGUUCUGAAAUAAGCAUAGGCUGCUCCGUCUUCUCUUCGAUGUGAACUUGUCACUUUGUGAUUUUUGUUUGAUCACCUUGAUAUCUAGUUAGUAGUUAUCUGCUAUCUUGUCAACACUACGAACUAUUGGCUUCAACUUCAUUCAGCAACCAUUCUUUUUUUUUAAAAAACGAUAUACUACUGAAGCAUGCUUGCAAUCAUCGUCUUUUUUUUUAAUCCUCAAGGCCUG